Mustela erminea (ermine) is the source of this 611-nucleotide long non-coding RNA. RefSeq lists it as uncharacterized. The transcript is spliced from 3 exons. NCBI's taxonomy places the organism in Eukaryota, Metazoa, Chordata, Mammalia, Carnivora, Mustelidae. The record is from RefSeq and is a predicted model, not a curated record.
GGUCAAGGCAAUUGAGUGAAUAAGUCUUUCUCAAGAGAGUAUACUUAGUGACCAGAAAGGAAGGGCAGACGUCCUGUUGGACUUUAGAAUUCAGGUUCGUGCACAAGUCAAGAUGGCUACCUCAAGGCACUAACCAGGAAGAGAAUGAACAGGUGCUGGCCAGGGCACCAUACCAGCAGGAAAUCAGCCAAUGCACGCCUAUGCCAGAGAAUCCACAAUGGAAGGAGGUAGGAGGAGAUACUGCAGCAAGGAUAGGACCCGCCUCUAAUGAGUGAUAAAAUAUAAAAAGGACGUGCAGAUGGCCACCAUGAUGGUUAUGAUGUAAUAUCAACAAACAAGGAAAGAAUGGCUUCUUGAUAAAACAGCUCCGUUCUUCACAUGUGCUUUCAUGGGACAGAAGAGAAAACUGAGGGGAUUCAGAUACAGAGAGACCUUGUGGGCUGGGAGCAUCCGGGUCACUGAGAAGCACUGCUGGCUUCAAUUUCCCGUUCAUAAACUUGGCACAUUUCAGUCUUCGCACGUCACUCUCCAUAACUGUGGGACCAUUUGUCUUACUUUUCCAUAGCAAUAAAGCUAACCCAGAAAUGUAAAAACAAAAGAAAAUAAACAGU